UCUGGUGGAAAUAGCGGAGGGGUCACACCCGUUCCCAUUCCGAACACGGACGUUAAGUCCUCCAGCGCCGAUGGUACUUGGGACGCGAGUCCCUGGGAGAGUAGGUCUCUGCCAGAG
Dethiobacter alkaliphilus AHT 1 is the source of this 117-nucleotide ribosomal RNA. NCBI's taxonomy places the organism in Bacteria, Bacillati, Bacillota, Dethiobacteria, Dethiobacterales, Dethiobacteraceae. The record is from Rfam.